RNAcentral lists this ribosomal RNA (497 nucleotides) under uncultured bacterium. RNAcentral's name for it is "partial 16S ribosomal RNA". It matches the Rfam family "Bacterial small subunit ribosomal RNA", at positions 28 to 507 of the family's 1533-position model. The record is from RNAcentral.
GAUGAACGCUGGCGGCGUGCCUAAUACAUGCAAGUCGAGCGAACAUAUAAUUAGCUUGCUCCUUUGACGUUAGCGUCGGACAUGUGAGUAACACGUGUGUCACCUACCUAUAAUACUGGGAUCACUUCGGUAAACCUGAGCUAAUACCGGAUAACAUUUCGAACCGCAUGGUUCUAAAGUUAAAGAUGUCUUUGCUAUCACUUAUUGACUUACCCUCGCCUUAUUAUCUAGUUGGUCAGCUAACUGCUUACCAAGGCGACGAUACGUAGCCGACCUGACUGGGUGAUCGGCCACACUGGAACUGAGACACGGUCCAGACUCCUACGGGAGGCAGCAGUAGGCAAUCUUACGUAAUAGGCGCAAGCCUGACGGAGCACCGCAGCGUGAGUGAUGAAGGGUUUCGGCUCGUAAAACUCUGUUAUUAGGGAAGACCAAAUGUGUAAGUAACUGUGCACGUCUUGACGGUACCUAAUCAGAAAGCCACGACUCACUACGUG